RNAcentral lists this ribosomal RNA (225 nucleotides) under Salmonella enterica subsp. enterica serovar Lubbock. RNAcentral's name for it is "partial 23S ribosomal RNA". It matches the Rfam family "Bacterial large subunit ribosomal RNA", at positions 1124 to 1348 of the family's 2925-position model. Lineage: Bacteria; Pseudomonadati; Pseudomonadota; Gammaproteobacteria; Enterobacterales; Enterobacteriaceae. The record is from RNAcentral.
UAAAGAAAGCGUAAUAGCUCACUGGUCGAGUCGGCCUGCGCGGAAGAUGUAACGGGGCUAAACCAUGCACCGAAGCUGCGGCAGCGACACUGUGUGUUGUUGGGUAGGGGAGCGUUCUGUAAGCCUGUGAAGGUGGCCUGUGAGGGUUGCUGGAGGUAUCAGAAGUGCGAAUGCUGACAUAAGUAACGAUAAAGCGGGUGGAAAGCCCGCUCGCCGGAAGACCAA